This 989-nucleotide non-coding RNA is filed under the name Ptilopachus petrosus. Its description in RNAcentral is "12S ribosomal RNA". It matches the Rfam family "Bacterial small subunit ribosomal RNA". The record is from RNAcentral. Lineage: Eukaryota; Metazoa; Chordata; Aves; Galliformes; Phasianidae.
AAAAGACUUAGUCCUAACCUUAUUAUUGGUUGUUGCUAGACAUAUACAUGCAAGUAUCCGCACUCCAGUGAAAAUGCCCUAUAAUCUUUUCUUCCAAAGUAAAAGGAGCAGGUAUCAGGCAUCACCCAAAGUAGUAGCCCAAGACGCCUUGCUAAGCCACACCCUCACGGGUAUUCAGCAGUAAUUAACAUUAAGCAAUAAGUGAAAACUUGACUUAGCCAUAGCAAUUCCAAGGGUUGGUAAAUCUUGUGCCAGCCACCGCGGUCAUACAAGAAACCCAAAUCAAUAACCAUCGGCGUAAAGAGUGGUUACAUGUUAUCCCAACCAGCUAAGACUAAAGUGCAACUAAGCUGUCAUAAGCCUAAGAUACACAUAAACUCCAACCCCAAAACCAUCUUAGCUUCAACGACCAAUUUUAACCCACGAAAGCCAGGACACAAACUGGGAUUAGAUACCCCACUAUGCCUGAGCCCUAAAUCCAGAUACCCCCCCUCAUACCCACGUAUCCGCCUGAGAACUACGAGCACAAACGCUUAAAACUCUAAGGACUUGGCGGUGCCCCAAACCCACCUAGAGGAGCCUGUUCUAUAACCGAUAAUCCACGAUCCACCCAACCACCUCUCGCCAGUACAGCCUACAUACCGCCGUCGCCAGCCCACCUCCCAUGAAAGCACAAUAGUGAGCUCAAUAGCCCUCGCUAACAAGACAGGUCAAGGUAUAGCUUAUGAGGUGGAAGAAAUGGGCUACAUUCUCUAAUAUAGAGCAUUAACGAAAAAGGACGUGAAAUCCGCCCUUAGAAGGAGGAUUUAGCAGUAAAGUAGGACCAUAUCCAAAGCCUACUUUAAGCUGGCCCUGAGGCACGUACAUACCGCCCGUCACCCUCUUCGCAAGCCACUUACACUAAUAAAUAAUACUCCAUUAACCUAACAAGGCUAAAGAUGAGGUAAGUCGUAACAAGGUAAGUGUACCGGAAGGUGCACUUAGACCAC